RNAcentral lists this ribosomal RNA (553 nucleotides) under uncultured archaeon. RNAcentral describes it as "bacterial SSU rRNA". It matches the Rfam family "Archaeal small subunit ribosomal RNA", at positions 326 to 879 of the family's 1478-position model. The record is from RNAcentral.
CGGGGUGCAGCAGGCGCGAAAACUCUACAAUGCAGGCAACUGCGAUAGGGGGACAUCGAGUGGCAUCCACCUUGGGUGCCUGUCCAACCGUCUAAAAAGCGGUUGUUAGCAAGGGCCGGGUAAGACCGGUGCCAGCCGCCGCGGUAAUACCGGCGGCUCGAGUGGUGGCCGAUAUUAUUGAGUCUAAAGGGUCCGUAGCCGGCUUUGCAAGUCCCCUGGGAAAUCCAGCGGCUUAACCGUUGGGCUUUCAUGGGAUACUACAUUGCUUGGGACUGGGAGAGGUAGGAGGUACUCGGGGGGUAGGGGUGAAAUCCUGUAAUCCUCCGGGGACCACCGGUGGCGAAGGCGUCCUACCAGAACAGGUCCGACGGUGAGGGACGAAAGCUAGGGGCACGAACCGGAUUAGAUACCCGGGUAGUCCUAGCCGUAAACGAUGCCCGCUAGGUGUCACGACGGUCGUGAAUCGUCGUGGUGCCGUAGGGAAGCCGCGAAGCGGGCCACUUGGGAAGUACGGCCGCAAGGCUGAAACUUAAAGGAAUUGGCGGGGGAGCAC